CCUACGGGAGGCAGCAGUGGGGAAUAUUGGACAAUGGGGGGAACCCUGAUCCAGCCAUGCCGCGUGUGUGAAGAAGGCCCUCGGGUUGUAAAGCACUUUCAGUGAGGAAGAACGCCUGGUGGUUAAUACCCAUCAGGAAAGACAUCACUCACAGAAGAAGCACCGGCUAACUCCGUGCCAGCAGCCGCGGUAAUACGGAGGGUGCGAGCGUUAAUCGGAAUUACUGGGCGUAAAGCGCGCGUAGGUGGCUUGAUAAGCCGGUUGUGAAAGCCCCGGGCUCAGCCUGGGAACGGCAUCCGGAACUGUCAAGCUAGAGUGCAGGAGAGGAAGGUAGAAUUCCCGGUGUAGCGGUGAAAUGCGUAGAGAUCGGGAGGAAUACCAGUGGCGAAGGCGGCCUUCUGGACUGACACUGACACUGAGGUGCGAAAGCGUGGGUAGCAAACAGGAUUAGAUACCCUAGUAGUC
RNAcentral lists this ribosomal RNA (465 nucleotides) under Vreelandella stevensii. RNAcentral's name for it is "partial 16S ribosomal RNA". It matches the Rfam family "Bacterial small subunit ribosomal RNA", at positions 338 to 795 of the family's 1533-position model. The record is from RNAcentral. Lineage: Bacteria; Pseudomonadati; Pseudomonadota; Gammaproteobacteria; Oceanospirillales; Halomonadaceae.